AUACUGUCUGACUAGAAUUUUCUCAAGGGAGAUCGGAACUGAGGGAGGAGUAGUGAAAUGCGUUGAUACCCUCGGGAACACCAGUGGCGUAGGCGGAUCUCUGGGAGAAGAUUGACACUGAGACACGAAAGCUAGGGGAGCGAAGCAGAUUAGAGACCUGCGUAGUCCUAGCCGUAAACGCAUGCUUGCUAGCUGCAUGAAUCUGCCUUCGGGUGGUAUCGUGUGGCGAAGGUAACCCGUUAAGCAAGCCGCCUGGAAAGUACGGCCGCAAGGCUGAAAUUCAAAGGAAUUGGCGGGGAGGCACACAACCAGUGGAACAUGUGGUUUAAUUCGAAACAAACCGAAGAACCUCACCAGGGUUUGACAUGUAGCUGCAAAUCUUAGGAAACUAAGACUCUUUCGAAGGUGCUACACAGGUGCUGCAUGGCUGUCGUCAGCUCGUUCCGUGAGGAGUGCCCUUAAGUGGGACAACGAGCGCAACCCCUAUUACAUGUUAGAAAUGUCAUGUAAGACUGCCUUGCCAUUUGGCGGGGAGGAAGGAGGGGCAGACGUCAAGUCCGCAUGGUCCUUAUACCCUGGGCUACACACAUGUUACAAUGAGUACGGCAAUGAGUUUGUCGCUAGCACGUAAGUGUAAGCUAAUCUCUUAAAUGUACUCUCAGUGGGGAUUGAGGUCUGCAACUCGA
RNAcentral lists this ribosomal RNA (686 nucleotides) under uncultured organism. Its description in RNAcentral is "bacterial SSU rRNA". It matches the Rfam family "Bacterial small subunit ribosomal RNA", at positions 630 to 1315 of the family's 1533-position model. The record is from RNAcentral.